RNAcentral lists this ribosomal RNA (253 nucleotides) under uncultured bacterium. RNAcentral describes it as "partial 16S ribosomal RNA". It matches the Rfam family "Bacterial small subunit ribosomal RNA", at positions 524 to 776 of the family's 1533-position model. The record is from RNAcentral.
UACAGAGGUCUCAAGCGUUGUUCGGAUUCAUUGGGCGUAAAGGGUGCGUAGGUGGCGGGGUAAGUCAGGUGUGAAAUUUCGGAGCUUAACUCCGAAACUGCAUUUGAUACUGCCUUGCUUGAGGACUGGAGAGGAGACUGGAAUUCACGGUGUAGCAGUGAAAUGCGUAGAGAUCGUGAGGAAGACCAGUGGCGAAGGCGGCUCACUGGCCCGAUACUGACGCUGAGGCACGAAAGCGUGGGGAGCAAACAGG